CCGCAGGGGUGCUCUGUCGCCGGGGCCUCGCAAUGGGGUUUCGGAGGAAAGUCCGGGCAACACAGAGUACCGUCCUUCCUAACGGGAAGAGGCUCGCAAGGGUCUGUAAAGCGUAACAGAGAACAAACCGCCGCAGUUUUCUGAGCAGAUGUUCUGCGGUAAGGGUGAAACGGCGGGGUAAGAGCCCACCGCGGGUGUGGUGACACAGCCGGCACGACGCACGACGGGUUGCAAGAUCAUGUAUAUCGGCGCCACGAGGGUUACUCGCCCCAUGCCGAAGGGUAGAUCGCACGAGAUUGCCGGUGACGGCCGUCCAAGAUAGAUGACAGAGGCCUUUCUGUUGUUUGCGGCUUUCGGGCCGUCGACAAGGAGGAGGCACAGAACCCGGCUUAUAGCCCCUGCGGUGCU
Molecule: RNase P RNA, 408 nt
Filed under: Alistipes sp.
Lineage: Bacteria; Pseudomonadati; Bacteroidota; Bacteroidia; Bacteroidales; Rikenellaceae
Description: RNase P RNA component class A
Rfam family: Bacterial RNase P class A
About the family: Ribonuclease P (RNase P) is a ubiquitous endoribonuclease, found in archaea, bacteria and eukarya as well as chloroplasts and mitochondria. Its best characterised activity is the generation of mature 5'-ends of tRNAs by cleaving the 5'-leader elements of precursor-tRNAs.
Source: RNAcentral